AGGAUCUUUUGUGACUAUGUCCAAAAACUAAUUUUAGAUACAUGUAAUUUAAGCUAAAACCAAGCAAGCCCUUAAAACCCCUAAAACCCCAGCCUAAUUUUACUCUGUUUUGCAAUUUGUUACCCCAAAACCCUCCUUCCCUCACUCAAUCCACAUUCAUCUUCAUGCUAAUUCAACUCAUACAACAAGCUAAAACCCCUUUCAAAUGAAAGCUUUCAGAGCUUUGAGAACACUUUCAACCUUCACAACAAAACGCCAGCGACAAUGUUCUAUCUUUCUCCACCGCCUCUACACCGCCCAGCCUCAGCAAACGCUCAAUGAAACCGAAAGUGAUUCAGUUUUUGACAGUUCCCAUUAUUCAAUACCGAGCCUUGGUGAAACCCACGACUCCGAGAAGAAAGAACCCACCUGGGAUGAAAAGUUCAGGGUGAGAGCUGAUAAGGUAGUGUUUGGGAAAGAUAGCCAAAGAGCGAAAGUUAGAAUUUUUCAGGAAGAUGAAGAUGAGCGGAAGAAUAGAGCUCUUGCCAGGGCUCUACUUGAGGCUGCUUUGGAGAAAGAGGAGGAAGAUGAAGAGGUUAAAGAGGAGGAUCAGAUGUCGCUUACUGUUGGGAUUAUUGGUGCUCCUAACGCUGGAAAAUCUGCUCUUGCUAAUUUCAUGGUGGGGACAAAGGUUGCUGCUGUUUCAAGGAAGACAAAUACAACCACUCAUGAAGUGCUUGGAGUAAUGAUGAAGGGAAAUGCCCAAAUUUGCUUUUUUGAUACCCCGGGACUUAUGUUAAAGAAAAGUGGGCUUCCUUACAAAGAUAUGAAGGUUCGCAUAGAAAGUGCUUGGAGCUCAGUUAAUUUAUUUGAGGUGCUCAUGGUUGUUUUUGAUGUACAUAGACAUCUCACCAAGCCUGAUUCAAGGGUUGUCAGAUUAAUUGACCGUAUGGGUGCUGAAGCUCAUCCAAAUCAGAAGCGGAUUUUAUGCAUGAAUAAGGUUGAUUUAGUUGCUAAGAAAAAAGACCUACUAAAAGUUGCUGAGCAAUUUAAAGAUCUUCCUGGGUAUGAAAGGAUUUUCAUGACCUCUGGAUUGAAGGGUGCUGGAGUAAAAGAUCUUUCCCAAUAUUUGAUUGAUCAGGCAGUUCAAAGACCUUGGUCUGAAGAUCCACUAACUAUGAGUGAAGAAGUCAUGAAGAACAUUUCAUUGGAAGUUGUACGGGAAAGGUUAUUAGACCAUGUACAUCAGGUUUGUAUGAUUUCAGGAAAUCCCCUAUGGUAUUGAACAUCGGUUGAUAGAUUGGAAGGACUUGCGCGAUGGUUCUCUUCGGAUUGAACAACACUUCAUUACCAACAAGCUAAGCCAACGAAAGAUUCUUGUUGGAAAGAAUGGCUCUAAAAUAGGGAGAAUUGGCAUUGAAGCUAACGAAGAGCUACGGUCCAUCUUCAAGAGACAAGUACAUCUCAUCCUCCGAGUUAAACUAAAAUGACAUGCUUGACAAAUAUAAUCAGCCAUCAAGAGAUGCUCUAUCUCCACCUGUACUAUCUGGAUGUGUAUAUAUGCAGAGCCCCAUCAGGUAUACCUUACCUGUAAUCUUUUCAUUUCAUCCCCUUAUGAACAAAGCAUCUAGAAUAGGAGGCUUUGGCGGCAAUGAUUAUCGGGGUAAUAAAUCAUUGAAAAGCUCCAUGUCUUCAGUGAAAAUCCCUGUCGUCUCAUUCUGGAUAAUGUUUAAUUGUGCGAAAUUUUGUUAAGAUGGAUUCCUUGCCUUUUUCUUAAUCUGUAUCCACUAUGAUAUUUACAUCAUUUGUAUUCUUGUUCCAUUGUAUUGGAUGGUCUUAUUCAUAAGAAAAAUUGUAUUAAUUUGUUACUAAAAUAAUUUUUUGAGGUUUAGA
Molecule: RNA transcript, 1872 nt
Organism: Mangifera indica (mango)
Lineage: Eukaryota; Viridiplantae; Streptophyta; Magnoliopsida; Sapindales; Anacardiaceae
Gene name: GTP-binding protein ERG-like
Exons: 8
Source: RefSeq, a predicted model, not a curated record